Molecule: ribosomal RNA, 253 nt
Filed under: uncultured bacterium
Lineage: Bacteria
Description: partial 16S ribosomal RNA
Rfam family: Bacterial small subunit ribosomal RNA
Source: RNAcentral
UACAGAGGGUGCGAGCGUUAAUCGGGGUUAUUGGGCGUAAAGGGCGCGUAGGCGGUUGUUACAGUCAGAUGUGAAAGACACAAGCUUAACUUGUGGGCUGCAUUUGAGACGUAGUGACUCGAGUAAGAUAGAGGGGAGUGGAAUUUCCGGUGUAGCGGUGAAAUGCGUAGAUAUCGGAAGGAACACCAGUGGCGAAGGCGGCUCCCUGGGUCUUAACUGACGCUGAGGCGCGAAAGCAUGGGUAGCAAACAGG